UACGGAGGAUGCAAGCGUUAUCCGGAAUGAUUGGGCGUAAAGCGUCCGCAGGUGGCUGUGUAAGUCUGCUGUCAAAGAGCGAAGCUCAACUUCGUAAAGGCAGUGGAAACUACACGGCUAGAGUGCGUUCGGGGCAGAGGGAAUUCCUGGUGUAGCGGUGAAAUGCGUAGAGAUCAGGAAGAACACCGGUGGCGAAGGCGCUCUGCUAGGCCGUAACUGACACUGAGGGACGAAAGCUAGGGGAGCGAAAGGG
Molecule: ribosomal RNA, 253 nt
Filed under: uncultured bacterium
Lineage: Bacteria
Description: partial 16S ribosomal RNA
Rfam family: Bacterial small subunit ribosomal RNA
Source: RNAcentral